GGUUAAGUGCUCGACUUGGCACAUGUACUCAUAUUUUCCUCGAUUUAUUAUUUAACGGCAUUGUGAUUUUACUAGCAGGUAACGUUCUUGAUAUCUACCGGUGCCGUCUUUCGAAGGUGGUCUGAGGGGUAGAGUUUGCAUGCAUGUGUUUAUGGGGUCUGUGUCACCGUGUGUGUGCAUUGUAAGCAUUUGUACUGUAUAAUUUGCAAAAGAAAUGUUAGACUCUAGGGAUAUGAGGUACGGUGUAACACUAGGACAAUUAAUAGUGUAGGGUUGUGAAUGAGUAGGCUUGCAUACCUUGAUUGGACCAGCUAACUUGAUUGGUAUAUGUCAUUCUAGUUACAAUCCCAUGCAUGAACCGAAGUCCUACAGAGUCGUACGUCAUUUGAGACAAAGUAAUCUGCUUGCUGCCAUUCAGUACCUAUCAUUUUUCGUCCAAGCUUUGUGCCUGAGAGGUGUGUGGUGCUGAGAUUUAUCGAUUAUCUGUGGAUGGGUCGCUAGGAGACAUUAUGAUCUAGUGGUGCAGAAUUAGGGAUAACAUGGUUCGCGUGGCCACGCCGUCGCGUAAUAACUUUUGCGAAUAAUAAUAGAUGAUCACAGGAAAAAUUAUUGGACAUUAGAGUUUUGAGUUUUUAAAGUCUUUUAAGUCUCAUAAUAUACUAUUGGUAAACACACACAUGCUUAGUCAAAAACUCCAUUCUCCAUGGAUAGGUUUUACCUUUUGGUACACAACAUGCUGCCAUAUGCUCAGGUGGUUCCUCUAACUUCUUGUGAUCUUACAAAAAUAGCUCUAUGAGGAGGCAGUAACAUCUCUAUACUAUUAUGAUCAAAGUAAACUUAACAACUUUUCAGAUCUCGUUCACUAGAAGUUCUCUUCCCAUUGCC
Molecule: long non-coding RNA, 885 nt
Filed under: Sorghum bicolor (sorghum)
Lineage: Eukaryota; Viridiplantae; Streptophyta; Magnoliopsida; Poales; Poaceae
Description: long non-coding RNA (SBIC_LNC009633)
Source: RNAcentral